GCAGAACGCGAAGAACCUUACCCAGGUUUGACAUCUUCGGAAGGCUUCCGAAAGGAAACUGUGCCGUAAGGAACCGAAUGACAGGUGAUGCAUGGCCGUCGUCAGCUCGUGUCGUGUAGAUGUUUGGUUAAGUCCAUCAACGAGCGCAACCCUUAUAGUUAGUUGUAUUUUUCUAGCCAGACUGCCCUGGUAACAGGGAGGAAGGGGGGAUGAUGUCAGGUCAGUAUUUCCCUUACAUCUGGGGCUACAAACACGCUACAAUGGCCGGUACAAAGGGCAGCCAAGUCGCGAGACGGAGCAAAUCCCAUCGAAGCCGGUCCCAGUUCGGAUAGCAGGCUGAAACUCGCCUGCUUGAAGCCGGAAUCGCUAGUAAUCGCGGAUCAGCAUGCCGCGGUG
RNAcentral lists this ribosomal RNA (396 nucleotides) under uncultured bacterium. RNAcentral describes it as "bacterial SSU rRNA". It matches the Rfam family "Bacterial small subunit ribosomal RNA", at positions 954 to 1364 of the family's 1533-position model. The record is from RNAcentral.